This 466-nucleotide ribosomal RNA is filed under the name uncultured bacterium. RNAcentral describes it as "partial 16S ribosomal RNA". It matches the Rfam family "Bacterial small subunit ribosomal RNA", at positions 28 to 506 of the family's 1533-position model. The record is from RNAcentral.
GAUGAACGCUGGCGGCGUGCUUAACACAUGCAAGUCGAACGGUGAAGCAGAGCUUGCUCUGUGGAUCAGUGGCGAACGGGUGAGUAACACGUGAGCAACCUGCCCCUGACUCUGGGAUAAGCGCUGGAAACGGCGUCUAAUACUGGAUAUGAGCUGCGACCGCAUGGUCAGCAGUUGGAAAGAUUUUUCGGUCUGGGAUGGGCUCACGGCCUAUCAGCUUGUUGGUGAGGUAAUGGCUCACCAAGGCGUCGACGGGUAGCCGGCCUGAGAGGGUGACCGGCCACACUGGGACUGAGACACGGCCCAGACUCCUACGGGAGGCAGCAGUGGGGAAUAUUGCACAAUGGGCGAAAGCCUGAUGCAGCAACGCCGCGUGAGGGAUGACGGCCUUCGGGUGGUAAACCUCUUUUAGCAGGGAAGAAGCGAAAGUGACGGUACCUGCAGAAAAAGCGCCGGCUAACUACGU